UACGUAGGGGGCGAGCGUUGUCCGGAUUUAUUGGGCGUAAAGAGCGUGUAGGCGGCUUGGUAGGUCUGCUGUGAAAACUCGGGGCUCAACCCCGAGACGUCGGUGGAAACCACCUGGCUAGAGUCCGGAAGAGGAGAGUGGAAUUCCCGGUGUAGCGGUGAAAUGCGCAGAUAUCGGGAGGAACACCUAUGGCGAAGGCAGCUCGCUGGGACGUUACUGACGCUGAGACGCGAAAGCGUGGGGAGCAAACAGG
This 253-nucleotide ribosomal RNA is filed under the name uncultured bacterium. RNAcentral describes it as "partial 16S ribosomal RNA". It matches the Rfam family "Bacterial small subunit ribosomal RNA", at positions 524 to 776 of the family's 1533-position model. The record is from RNAcentral.